RNAcentral lists this transfer RNA (75 nucleotides) under Selenomonadales bacterium. Its description in RNAcentral is "tRNA-Asn". It matches the Rfam family "tRNA". Rfam says of the family: Transfer RNA (tRNA) molecules are approximately 80 nucleotides in length. Their secondary structure includes four short double-helical elements and three loops (D, anti-codon, and T loops). Lineage: Bacteria; Bacillati; Bacillota; Negativicutes; Selenomonadales. The record is from RNAcentral. RNAcentral also lists the same sequence under 1 other name.
UCCUCGAUAGCUCAAUGGUAGAGCACCCGGCUGUUAACCGGGUGGUUGUAGGUUCGAGUCCUACUCGAGGAGCCA